UACGUAGGGGGCUAGCGUUGUCCGGAAUCAUUGGGCGUAAAGCGCGCGUAGGCGGCCCGGUAAGUCCGUUGUAAAAGUCAAAGGCUCAACCUUUGAAUGUCAGUGGAUACUGCCGGGCUAGAGUCCGGAAGAGGCGAGUGGAAUUCCUGGUGUAGCGGUGGAAUGCGCAGAUAUCAGGAGGAACACCAACGGCGAAGGCAGCUCGCUAGGACGGUACUGACGCUGAGACGCGAAAGCGUGGGGAGCAAACAGG
RNAcentral lists this ribosomal RNA (253 nucleotides) under uncultured bacterium. RNAcentral describes it as "partial 16S ribosomal RNA". It matches the Rfam family "Bacterial small subunit ribosomal RNA", at positions 524 to 776 of the family's 1533-position model. The record is from RNAcentral.